This 450-nucleotide ribosomal RNA is filed under the name uncultured Glomus. RNAcentral's name for it is "SSU rRNA". It matches the Rfam family "Eukaryotic small subunit ribosomal RNA", at positions 569 to 1022 of the family's 1831-position model. Lineage: Eukaryota; Fungi; Glomeromycota; Glomeromycetes; Glomerales; Glomeraceae. The record is from RNAcentral.
AGCAGCCGCGGUAAUUCCAGCUCCAAUAGCGUAUAUUAAAGUUGUUGCAGUUAAAAAGCUCGUAGUUGAAUUUCGGGAUCAAUAUUUCGGUCAUGCCGUUGGUAUGCACUGUUAUCAUUGAUUUCUCACCUUCUAAAGAACCGUGAUGCCAUUAAUUUGGUGUUACGGGGAAUUAGGACUGUUACCUUGAAAAAAUUAGAGUGUUUAAAGCAGGCUCACGCUUGAAUACAUUAGCAUGGAAUAAUGAAAUAGGACAUCCGAUUCUAUUUUGUUGGUUUCUAGGAUCGAUGUAAUGAUUAAUAGGGAUAGUUGGGGGCAUUAGUAUUCAAUUGUCAGAGGUGAAAUUCUUGGAUUUAUUGAAGACUAACUACUGCGAAAGCAUUUGCCAAGGAUGUUUUCAUUAAUCAAGAACGAAAGUUAGGGGAUCGAAGACGAUCAGAUACCGUCGUA